GGAUAUGGCGAAAUUGGUAGACGCUA
This 26-nucleotide transfer RNA is filed under the name Yucca brevifolia. Its description in RNAcentral is "partial tRNA-Leu". The record is from RNAcentral. Lineage: Eukaryota; Viridiplantae; Streptophyta; Magnoliopsida; Asparagales; Asparagaceae.